RNAcentral lists this ribosomal RNA (497 nucleotides) under uncultured bacterium. RNAcentral's name for it is "partial 16S ribosomal RNA". It matches the Rfam family "Bacterial small subunit ribosomal RNA", at positions 28 to 507 of the family's 1533-position model. The record is from RNAcentral.
GAUGAACGCUGGCGGCGUGCCUAAUACAUGCAAGUCGAACGAACAGACGAGGAGCUUGCUUCUGGGACGAUAGCGGCGGUCGGGGGAGUAGCACGGGGAUAACCUACCUAUAAGACUGGGAUAACCACGGGAAUCCCGGGUUAAUACGGGAUAAAAUACUGAACCACACGGUUGAAUAGUGAAAGACGGUUUUGCAGUCUCUGAUAGAUGGAUCCGCGCCGCAUUAGCUAGUUGGUAAGGUAACGGCUUACCAAGGCAACGAUGAGUAGCCGACCUGAGAGGGUGAACGGCCACACGGGAACUGAGACACGGUCCAGACUCCUACGGGAGGCAGCAGUAGGGAAUCUUCCGCAAUGGGCGAAAGCCUGACGGAGCAACGCCGCGUGAGUGAUGAAGGUCUUCGGAUCGUAAAACUCUGUUAUUAGGGAAGAACAAAUGUGUAAGUAACUAUGCACGUCUUGACGGUACCUAAUCAGAAAGCCACGGCUAACUACGUG